Molecule: small nuclear RNA, 22 nt
Filed under: Arabidopsis thaliana (thale cress)
Lineage: Eukaryota; Viridiplantae; Streptophyta; Magnoliopsida; Brassicales; Brassicaceae
Description: snRNA_05932
Source: RNAcentral
UCCCAUUUUUCAAAGUUGGCAA